CCUCUUAGCAUCAGCAUCAAUUUAAUCUCAAAGCCACUUUCACAGUUCGAACAGUAUGAGGGUUGAAAGCUUCUUUAACAUACUAGUCUACUUAGUAAUCUCAAUGCUUGCAGCGGUGGGUGCGCAGGCCACAAGCAAAAAUGUGAUGUGUAAUCCAAUGGCCUGUCCAAAAGUGGGACCUUAACUUUAAUGGUGACAAUAUUAAAACUCUGAAUAAUAAAACAAAUUAUUGAUCCACGAA
Molecule: long non-coding RNA, 241 nt
Organism: Drosophila elegans
Lineage: Eukaryota; Metazoa; Arthropoda; Insecta; Diptera; Drosophilidae
Exons: 2
Source: RefSeq, a predicted model, not a curated record